RNAcentral lists this transfer RNA (120 nucleotides) under Proasellus margalefi. RNAcentral's name for it is "transfert RNA-F(TTC)". Lineage: Eukaryota; Metazoa; Arthropoda; Malacostraca; Isopoda; Asellidae. The record is from RNAcentral.
ACUUGGGUAGUUUAACUAGAAUAUAACGUUGAAAGCGUUAAGGUGUCUUCUCUAAGUGUCCUAAGGUUAGACCUUCUCCAACUCCACAUGUUGGUAUCUUAUAUAAACUAUCAGAACAGA